Molecule: ribosomal RNA, 253 nt
Filed under: uncultured bacterium
Lineage: Bacteria
Description: partial 16S ribosomal RNA
Rfam family: Bacterial small subunit ribosomal RNA
Source: RNAcentral
UACGGGGGGGGCAAGCGUUGUUCGGAAUUACUGGGCGUAAAGGGUUCGUAGGUGGCCAACUAAGUCAUACGUGAAAUCCCUGAGCUUAACUGGGGAACUGCGUCUGAUACUGGUUGGCUUGAGUGCAGGAGAGGAACGCGGAAUUCCAGGUGUAGCGGUGGAAUGCGUAGAGAUCGGGAAGAACACCCGUGGCGAAGGCGGCCAGCUGGGCCGGUUCUGACGCUGAGGCGCGAAAGCGUGGGGAGCAAACAGG